This 85-nucleotide transfer RNA is filed under the name Felis catus (domestic cat). It matches the Rfam family "tRNA". Rfam says of the family: Transfer RNA (tRNA) molecules are approximately 80 nucleotides in length. RNAcentral also lists the same sequence under 3 other names. The record is from Rfam by way of RNAcentral. Lineage: Eukaryota; Metazoa; Chordata; Mammalia; Carnivora; Felidae.
GCCUGAGUAGCUCAGUUGGUUAAGCAUCUGACUUCGGCUCAGGUCAUGAUCUCACAGUUUGUGGGUUUGAGCCCCACGUCAGGCU